This 3851-nucleotide long non-coding RNA is filed under the name Brassica napus (rape). Its description in RNAcentral is "long non-coding RNA (BNAP_LNC000103)". The record is from RNAcentral. Lineage: Eukaryota; Viridiplantae; Streptophyta; Magnoliopsida; Brassicales; Brassicaceae.
GUUUCUCGGGAUUCUCAGUUUAGCAUCUUUCUCUGCAUACUUUCCUUGAACUUCUUGUUGCUGUGAUGCGUUCAUAAUCGGUUUUUUCCCUUCCACACUUUUCUUCUGUUCCGCCCCAUGUUCUAACAAGUUCAAGGUCCCAGACUGAGGUGAAGUACUGUACCAUAUCUUCCGCUGUUUUUCGGCUAUUUCUGGUUUCCUGGCAGUUUCCAAGAUACGGUAAACUGCUUCCCUUGUGACUGGGGGCUUUAGGCAUGAAAAUAAAGCUUCCUCAGAAGCAAUUGAUGCAGGAAGUCUACUGAGAAAGGGACGUAUUACUGGGGCAAUAAAUGCAAAAGAGUCGACAGCACCUAAGAACUCACUACAGGCAGCGAUGAAAGUGACGACUGCCUUCCUUACCCAUUGAGAUGGAUAGUACAGCAAAGGAUAAACACACUCUAUCAUUUGGAGAAGAGCUCUCUUCCGCAAGAAGCUGCUCUUGCAUAGUAUGGAUAAGCAAUCCAAUGCAUUGACAAUGACAGCCUCUGUCUGAUCACUCAAAGCUUGAUCAAUAUAAGGCAAUAGAUAUUCCUCCACACUUCUCUGACCGACAAAGAAGCAUACAUAAACAAUUUUCUCAAAGAAUACAGAUCUUAGCUGUUCGUCUCUGUCGUUAAGAAAGGCAGGGAGGAUGGGGAGUAGAAAGUAAUUGCUCUGCCUCUGACCAAAGAAAAAGCAGAGCUCCCCUAUGUCCUGAAGGAGUGCUCUUCUAACAUUCGGAGUUUGUUUUGGACCCAUAACAAGCUCUUGAACAACUUCGGCAAUAGUUUUCCUAAGCUGUGAAAGCUGUGCAUCGCCGUUUGCCUUUUGCAACUCAGUAGCAGGUGUAGUUGACAUCUGCGGCGAAGUUGAUUCAUUAAGAACCCCUACGUUGCUCAGUUGGAAAGAAUGUAUCAAGAAUCCAUAAGCAGUAAGAGCAAGUUUGGCAAUAUUGCUGGCAUAACAUAUCCUCACACUCUCUUCUGGAUCAUCAGGGAGCAUGGAGAGCAUCGGGAAUAUAUACUCUGGGAAGAUCUUCGCAUCACUGGGAGGAAAAUCUCGGACAAGCGGCAGAAUGUCACAUAGAGUUUCCAUGGCAGCACACCGCACGAUUGCUGUUGUAUCAGAAAGCAGGGAAACAACAUAUGGAAGUACACGUUGUAAGCGAUCUUCAUCAUCAAUAUACAAAGAGCAAGACCUCAGCAGAAGUAUGGCUUCCCUCCUCAAAUGAGGCAACUUGAUAUUGCGGAUACAGGAACAGAGCAUAGAUGCGAUCAGAACCAUUCCCUCGCAUCUCAUGUUAACUUCUACCGGUAGAAAAGGGGUUCCGUAAGUGUCGGAACGGCUAUCAUAGAGAGACAUCAGUGUGCCCAAAUCGUCCAUUGUUAUCUUUUUCAAGAAAGGAUGGCGAUUUUUCUUGAGUGCAUCAGAAAUAGAGUAGAGGGUCUCGUCCUUGGAGUUUACAGUAUCCCUUAUCAAGUCCUUCGAGGUGUUCAGUUUCUGAUUCGUAAAAGUUUCUUGUACAUUUCUUGCGUUCACUGGAUGUGAAGGUAAAGGAGAAUCAAUACCCAUCUCAUCACCUGGCUUAUUUUCCAUCAUCUUCUUAAGUAUUUCUUGAAAUAUGCCAUGGCAAGUUGCUACCUGAUAAAAAUGACGCAAAAUGAUAUGAAGCAUGUUGAUGCAGAGUGUAGAGUUUUUUUUAACAGAAAAUGGUGGUGGUUACCCUCAUAUCUGAAGGAAGUGGAUUCCAACAACAGUACAAAGUGUGCAGAAAUGGUGAGAAGUAGUUCGGGAAAAUAACUCCCACAUAAUUUUGCAGGUAGUUUUCAGCUGAUAGGCGUGCUUCGGGUUCUAACUGAAUCAUAUGAAGAAUCAUCUUGCGAAUUCCAGGAUCAGGAAUCUGAAUCCAAUAAAAAGAGAAAGAAAACAACAAAGAUGAGUAGAAGUAGAGGUAGAACAAUCAGCAAAAAAAAAAUCCAACUCAGAACCACUGAAGUCUCAAGUCCCAAGUACCACGAAGAAGGAAGGUGAAAAGAAUGUUGUUUAAACAUCAAAGGAAUCAACGUGAAAGGUCGCUUGAAAGAAAGAAAAAAUGGAGAGGGAAAGAUAUUGAUACCNNNNNNNNNNNNNNNNNNNNNNNNNGGAAAGAGAUUGUUACCUACAAAGAGAAAAUGAAAAAGGAAGAUGCAGUAGGAAAAAUACCUUUUCAAGGUGUUGGCUAGGAUCAUGUUGUCCUCUGCGAUAAGCGAGAAGCUGAGCAAGUUCAAAUAGUGGCUGACCCUCAAGAAAAAGCUCUGCUAUCACGCACCUGAAGCAUUGAUAUGAAACUAUUACGAUAUGUUAUCAACUUAAAUAUACAACGUGCUAAUGUUUCAAGGUAAGAACAGUUUGUUCCAUCAUGAAAAAGUAUGUGUGCUUGACCUAUAGGAGCCUCUUUAUCUUGAUAUGCUAAUAAAAGGAAUGAACAGAUAGAGUGAUGUAAAACAAGAGGGUGAAUAAUCUCACCCCACAGAAAAUAUAUCCAUGGAUGGCUUUAAUGGAGCAUUUUGUGCAACUUUGGUCUCACCUCCAUGCUCAUAGAAUUUUUUGGGUACUAUACAUUACCAUCGGGCCAGAUAGGCUAUCAGAGGUGUAGUUCAAAAGAGAAAGCAAAGCGCCUUCUUUAACAUCCUUCUUUUUGAUAUCAACAAUGCCUGAGUACUUCUCCACCACGUUCCCCAAGCCUCUGGAGAUAUGGUCAAUGGAAAACAUAUGUAACACACCAUCGGAGGCUCCAACGACAACUUGAGUUGAAUUCCUAAGCAUUGUUGUGCACAUCCCUCUGCUUCCCUCGAGAUGAUACGUUAGCCUUGACCUGAACGAAAUGUCCUUUUCCAGCUUUCUAGAGUCCCACACCUUUACUGUAGAAUCAUCUGAUGCACUAACAAAGAAGCUAUGAUCGCUUGAAGUGGCAAUGUCGUUGACAGCAGAGCGGUGCUCUUGUAGAUGAGCGACUAAUACUCCACGAGGCUUCCAACCUGAAUCCGGAACCGAAGUCCUCGACGGAGAUGGUUCUCCUACGAGAUCCGAUAUUGAAGACGCGUCUUCUGAAGUCACAGAAGCGCUUUUUGAAGAGGUGGAUACACCGAGGUCUUGAAAUUUGCUGAUGACUGAGGACAUUUGCUCAUUUUCUCUGCUUUCUGGCUCAUGUACCACUCUGUAAAACUGUUUAGGAUUGGUACCAACGUGGAAUGAUCCAGAAACCAGCUUAGGCACCGGAACCGAACUAGCCAAGUUAAAUGACUUGCUCAUGGAAUCCAUCCAUGGUACUGACAACGAACUCAUCCCCAGAGAGUUCAUCUGCAAUGAAGACUCAGAAGCCACAGGAGGAUUCGUGGCGGCUCGUUUGUCCAUGUUAAACGAAUAGAGAGGUAUCCCCUCUGGUUCAGUUACGUUAUUCAUACCAGACAUGUAUGGUGCCAUAAGCCCAGAGAACUGUAACUUCUCCUGAUUCAAGUGAUCACGAAGCUCAACUGUGUUAGAAGCAUUGAGUCUUGGGUUUCUCGGGAUUCUCAGUUUAGCAUCUUUCUCUGCAUACUUUCCUUGAACUUCUUGUUGCUGUGAUGCGUUCAUAAUCGGUUUUUUCCCUUCCACACUUUUCUUCUGUUCCGCCCCAUGUUCUAACAAGUUCAAGGUCCCAGACUGAGGUGAAGUACUGUACCAUAUCUUCCGCUGUUUUUCGGCUAUUUCUGGUUUCCUGGCAGUUUCCAAGAUACGGUAAACUGCUUCCCUUGUGACUGGGGGCUUUAGGCAUGAAAACAAACCUUCCUCAGAAGCAAUUGAUGCAGGAAGUC